AUUGAACGCUGGCGGAAUGCUUUACACAUGCAAGUCGAGCGGCAGCGCGGGGGCAACCCUGGCGGCGAGCGGCGAACGGGUGAGUAACAUAUCGGAACGUACCCCGUCGUGGGGGAUAACACAGCGAAAGCUGUGCUAAUACCGCAUACGACCUGAGGGUGAAAGCGGGGGAUCGCAAGACCUCGCGCGAUGGGAGCGGCCGAUAUCGGAUUAGCUUGUUGGUGAGGUAAAGGCUCACCAAGGCGACGAUCCGUAGCUGGUCUGAGAGGACGACCAGCCACACUGGAACUGAGACACGGUCCAGACUCCUACGGGAGGCAGCAGUGGGGAAUUUUGGACAAUGGGGGCAACCCUGAUCCAGCCAUUCCGCGUGAGUGAAGAAGGCCUUCGGGUUGU
Molecule: ribosomal RNA, 396 nt
Filed under: uncultured bacterium
Lineage: Bacteria
Description: bacterial SSU rRNA
Rfam family: Bacterial small subunit ribosomal RNA
Source: RNAcentral